Molecule: long non-coding RNA, 1784 nt
Filed under: Canis lupus familiaris (dog)
Lineage: Eukaryota; Metazoa; Chordata; Mammalia; Carnivora; Canidae
Description: lncRNA (ENSCAFG00030003140.1)
Source: RNAcentral
AGAGAGCUGUGGCUGCGCCUCUGGGGACGGCGGAGGCCUGGGCCCGUGUCUGCCAGCCAGUGUCCUACUCAUUUACUGUCACUACCCAGGGACAAGUGCCCACCGUAGGAAGACAAGGUUGCCGCACACUGUCGGUCACUGAAGCCCUGAGGUUCCCAAGCAUCCGGGGUGCGGGGGAGCUGACAACUGGGCUCUUGAGGGAACCUUUUAGAAAGCUGAGCCCGGCUGGCCUCUGGUCGACCCACAUGUCCAUUCUCUACUUUGGGAUUGUCACGACUACCGAAUCCAUUAACUGGACUAAAAGUAAAAGCCAGUGGGAGCACGAGGGCCUUGAAAUGUCUAAGCACCCGCAAGGCCGAGCUGGCUGAUUACUGCUGAGAGGAGGGUCAGGAGAGCACUCUGGGCCUCCGCCCCCUCCCAGGCCCAGCGGAUGCAAGGCCUAGAAAUAUAGAUACUGUCUCUGCCUGUCAAUAAUAAAAGCUCGAGUUUGAAAUUCAGUUAUCUGAGGAAGCCAGGGACAGGUCAGGGAGUAAUCAGGGCACCCCAGCCCCCAGCUGGGGAUGUGGCGCAGGGGUUCCGAGCCCCUGGAGCCUCCCGCCUUCCGACCACAUCGAGCACACUGCGAGCAGGCACUGGUGCUCGCCAGGUAAAGGCUGGGCAGACAGACGGGAGGGCGCAUGGCACUUGAUGGCAUUUUAUUGUUCUUACAGAUGGAAGAAAUUUAGUAGGAGCCUGAAACUGCGGGACCUCCAGACUGGCCGGAUGGCAUCGUCUCCUGGACUUACCUUGUGAUGUGACUCUCUUGAGAACUCAAGUCUCCCGAGUGAAGUGCUCUUUCCAAGCCAUACACAAUGGCACCAACGUUGAAAGUAGUAGUCACAGCUAAGGUCAUGGACUUCUGUUUCCAGAGCUUUCCACACACCAGCUCACGUGAUCCUCACAUUGACCCCCAUGAGGCCUCCCCAAGCUCUAGGGCCGAAGAGACAUCCAUCCAUCGUGGUAUGAGAAAGAAUUUGACACAGCCUGAAAAAGAGCCAAGAAAAAUGACUUAAACGUUGCACAUGUGUGAAGAAAGCAUCAGAGUCAACUUAUUCAUGGUGAAGGAGAAGGGUUAAGACAAUGUUUCCCAAACCUUCCUGCUCUCAAAUGAUUUACUUCGCAACCGAGGAAAAGGCAAGCUGACUGGCUACUUGACGUAUACCUAUGAAUGGAACGUAUGUAGAAUAGGAAAGGGUAAUUAUAAGAUUUUUUAAACUGCCUUGCAUUUUUAAAUAAAUUGUCCUCCUCCACAUUGGGGGUGGACAGAGGACAAGGCAAAUGCCAUUUAAAUACUAGUUGUCCGUAAAUGGGAAAUGACAAGGUGAAAUUGGAGUUAAUAUAGUGGUAGAAUGACCAUAUCCUGUAUAUAAUUUUGUCAUUGCUCUUGUCAUUCUGUAGGGAACUAUUUGCUGAGUGUUUUUCCUGCUGACCGUGAGCUUCGUAACAGUAGCAACCACUGCCUUUUCAUCUCGCUGUUCCGGUGCCAUGUCCUUGUUGAUUUUACUUAUCAUAAAUAAUGGCCACCAUUUUUCUGUUAAUUAAAGACAAAUUUGACCCCCUUGAAAAUACCUGUUUGUGAAUUAGAGUUGAGCCAGAGUGCCUUCAUUAGUCCUCUGUCAGUUGUAAGGGGCAGAAUUUUAACCCAAAUUGGUUGAAAUUAAUUGUGGGUCCUAUACACGCUCACAGAAUUAAUACAAAUUUUAUGGGAAUCAUAAAAAUCAGCUCCAGCAGUGCCUGGGAUUGGA